GAUGAACGCUGGCGGCGUGCCUAAUACAUGCAAGUCGAGCGAACAGACGAGGAGCUUGCUCCUCUGACGUUAGCGGCGGACGGGUGAGUAACACGUGGAUACCCUACCUAUAAGACUGGGAUCACUUCGGGACACCGGAGCUAAUACCGGAUAAUCUAUUGAACCGCAUGGUUCAAUAGUGAAAGACGGUUUUGCUGUCACUUCUAGAUGGAUCCGCGCCGCAUUAGCUAGUUGUUAAGGUAACGGCUUACCAAGGCAACGAUGCGUAGCCGACCUGAGAGGGUGAUCGGCCACACUGGAACGGAGACACGGUCCAGAGUCCUACGGGAGGCAGCAGUAGGGAAUCUGCCGCAAUGGGCGAAAGCCUGACGGAGCAACGCGGCGUGAGUGAUGAAGGUCUUCGGAUCGUAAAACUCUGUUAUGAGGGAAGAACAAAUGUGUAAGUAACUAUGCACGUCGUGACGGUACCUAAUCAGAAAGCCACGGCUAACUACGUG
Molecule: ribosomal RNA, 497 nt
Filed under: uncultured bacterium
Lineage: Bacteria
Description: partial 16S ribosomal RNA
Rfam family: Bacterial small subunit ribosomal RNA
Source: RNAcentral